UCAUACCCGGGGUCAUGGAUUUUUUGAAAAAUGACAAGGUUCUUUUUUGAGAGUUACGGGCCUCAAAUUCAUCGUAAACUUGACAAAUGGUGUUGCGGACCUACUUUAAAGCUUUUAAGGUUGUUUCGAGCCAAAAAAAAUUUUUGUUUAAAUUUCUAAAUUUUGAGUUUUUUUGCAUAUCUGGGGUCAUGGAUUUUUUGAAAAAUGACCAAGUUCUUUUUUAAGAGUUACGGGCCUCAAAUUCAUCAGAAACUCCACAAAUGGUGUUGCGGACGUAUUUUCAAGCUUUUUAGGUUGUUUCGACUAUAAAAAUAUUUUUCUAUAUUUUUCUCAUUUUUUGAGUUUUUUUGCAUACCCGGGGUCAUGGAUUUUUUGAAAAAUGACUAGGCUCUUUUUUGGAAGUUACGGGCCUCAAAUUCAUCGGAAACUUGACAAAUCGUGUUGCGGACCUACUUUAAAGCUUUUAAGGUUGUUUCCAGCCAAAAAAUUUUUUUUUUAAAUUUAUCAUUUUUGAGUUUUUUUUGCAUAUCCGGGGUCAUGGAUUUUUUGAGAAAUGACCAAGUUCUUUUUUUAGAGUUACGGGCCUGAAAUUCAUGGGAAACUCCACAAAUGGUGUUGCAGACGUAUUUUCAAGCUUUUUUGGUUGUUUCAACUAUAAAAAAAUUUUUCUAUAUUUUUCUCAUUUUUUGAGUUUUUUUGCAUACCCGGGGUCAUGGAUUUUUUGAAAAAUGACAAGGUUCUUUUUUGAGAGUUACAGGCCUCAAAUUCAUCAGAAACUUGACAAAUCGUGUUGCGGACCUACUUUAAAGCUUUUAAGGUUGUUUGGAGCCAAAGAAAAUUUUUGUAUAAAUUUCUAAAUUUUGAGUUUUUUUGCAUAUCCGGGGUCAUGGAUUUUUUGAAAAAUGACUAAGUUCUUUUUUGAGAGUUACGGGCCUCAAAUUCAUCGGAAACUUAACAAAUAGUGUUGCGUAUGUAUUUUCAAGCUUUUUAGGUUGUUUCGAGCCAAACAAAUAUUUUGUAUAAAUUUCUAAAUUUUGAGUUUUUUUGCAUAUCCGGGGUCAUGGAUUUUUUGAAAAAUGACUAAGUUCUUUUUUGAGAGUUACGGGCCUCAAAUUCAUCGGAAACUUAACAAAUAGUGUUGCGUAUGUAUUUUCAAGCUUUUUAGGUAGUUUCGAGCCAAAAAAAUAUUUUGUAUAAAUUUCUAAAUUUUGAGUUUUUUCGCAUAUCCGGGGUCAUGGAUUUUUUUAAAAAUAACUAAGUUCUUUUUUAAGAGUUACGGGCCUCAAAUUUAUCAGAAACUCCACAAAUGGUGUUGCGGACGUAUUUUCAAGCUUUUUAGGUUGUUUCGACUUUAAAAAAAAUUUUCUAUAUUUUUCUCAUUUUUUGAGUUUUUUUGCAUACCCGGGGUCAUGGAUUUUUUGGAAAAUGACAAGGUUCUUUUUUGAGAGUUACAGGCCUCAAAUUCAUCGGAAACUUCACAAAUGGUGUUGCAAACCCACUUUAAAGCUUUUAAGGUUGUUUCGAGCCAAAAAAAAUUUUUGUAUAAAUUUCUAAAUUUUGAGUUUUUUUGCAUAUCCGGGGUCAUGAAUUUUUUGAAAAAUGACAAGAUUCUUUUUUAAGAGUUACGGGCCUCAAAUUCAUCAGAAACUCCACAAAUGGUGUUGCAGACGUAUUUUCAAGCAUUUUUGGUUGUUUCGACUAUAAAAAAAUUUUCUAUAUUUUUCUCAUUUUUUGAGUUUUUUUGCAUACCCGGGGUCAUGGAUUUUUUGGAAAAUGACAAAGUUCUUUUUUGAGAGUUACGGGCCUCAAAUUCAUCGGAAACUUGACAAAUGGCGUUGCGGACCUACUUUAAAGCUUUUAAGGUUGUUUCGAGCCAAAAAAAAUUUUUGUAUAAUUUUCUAAAUUUUGAGUUUUUUUGCAUAUCCGGGGUCAUGGAUUUUUUGAAAAAUGACAAGGUUCUUUUUUGAGAGUUACGGGCCUCAAAUUCAUCAGAAACUCCACAAAUGCUGUUGCGGACCUACUUUAAAGCUUUUAAGGUUGUUUCCAGCCAAAAAAAUUUUUUUUUUAAAUUUAUCAUUUUCGAGUUUUUUUUGCAUAUCCGGGGUCAUGGAUUUUUUGGAAAAUGACAAGGUUCUUUUUUGAGAGUUACGGGCCUCAAAUUCGUCGGAAACUUGACAAAUGGUGUUGCGGACGUAUUUUCAAGCUUUUUAGGUAGUUUCGAGCCAAAAAAAUAUUUUGUA
Non-coding RNA from Rhopilema esculentum, 2240 nucleotides. NCBI's taxonomy places the organism in Eukaryota, Metazoa, Cnidaria, Scyphozoa, Rhizostomeae, Rhizostomatidae. The record is from RefSeq and is a predicted model, not a curated record.